This 447-nucleotide ribosomal RNA is filed under the name uncultured bacterium. RNAcentral's name for it is "bacterial SSU rRNA". It matches the Rfam family "Bacterial small subunit ribosomal RNA", at positions 355 to 825 of the family's 1533-position model. The record is from RNAcentral.
UCGGGAAUUUUGGGCAAUGGGGGAAACCCUGACCCAGCAACGCCGCGUGAAGGAUGAAGUAUUUCGGUAUGUAAACCUCGAAAGAAUAGGAAGAAUAAAUGACGGUACUAUUUAUAAGGUCCGGCUAACUACGUGCCAGCAGCCGCGGUAAUACGUAGGGACCAAGCGUUGUUCGGAUUUACUGGGCGUAAAGGGCGCGUAGGCGGCAUGACAAGUCACUUGUGAAAUCUCUGGGCUUAACCCAGAACGGCCAAGUGAUACUGUCGCGCUAGAGUGCAGAAGGGGCAAUCGGAAUUCUUGGUGUAGCGGUGAAAUGCGUAGAUAUCAAGAGGAACACCUGAGGUGAAGACGGGUUGCUGGGCUGACACUGACGCUGAGGCGCGAAAGCCAGGGGAGCAAACGGGAUUAGAUACCCUCGUAGUCCCUGAGCGGGCUGGCAAGGCGCAU